Non-coding RNA from Ceratotherium simum simum (southern white rhinoceros), 77 nucleotides. The record is from RefSeq and is a predicted model, not a curated record. Lineage: Eukaryota; Metazoa; Chordata; Mammalia; Perissodactyla; Rhinocerotidae.
GGCCUUACUGGAUCCUUCACAGAAGAAACUCUACAGAGAUGAAAAAUAUGGGAAGAUCAUGAUAUUGAAGAUCAGUA